AUGUAAUUUUUCUGCUCCUUUAAUUUUUUGCAUUAGUGUAUAUUAACCAGGAUAUGUUAUAUAUUUAUUCGACCAUAAUUUUAUCAAAAAGGACUAAAAUCUUGGAUAAAACAGCGACUUCUAAAAUUUUGAGAUGUUUAAUUGGAUUUAUCUCGAAAACUACUAGCUCUACAGUAAUCGCUUACAUAAUUUCUUUUGUAGGAAAUAAAAUUCUCUACAAAAAAAAGUUCUGUACAAUUUUGUUGUAAAGUUGAUGGUUUGUGAGGUCGGUUACAAAACAUAAAUUAGCUACAAGCACUUUCAAAAAGGAACGAUUCCUUUGUGAUUUCCACCUAUGGUCGAUCAAAUAUCUUGAAAUGCCGUUGAGCUAUAGAUAAUUGAAAAAAUAAAAUUAAAAUUUACGUGUUAAUCAAAUGGGAAAAUUUUAAAUUCAUUUAUGUGUACAAUGAUAUUUCAACAUGGGACUUGGAAAAAAAUAUAGUCAUCUCAAACGAAGCACCCUAAUAUUAAUGUAUAUAUAAUUAGGUAAAAUCAUUUUUUUCUGGGUACAUAUAACUUUAUAUGAUUAUAUAAGAUUUUAUAUGAUUUUAUAAGAUUUUUUAAAGUCAUAUAAGUUUCUAUAGGACCAAUUUCAUUAUAAAACUUUAUAUGAUUUUAUAUGAGUCACUUUUAUAUGAUUUAUAUAUGAUCAUAUAAGAACUUUUUUUCCCGGGUUCUAAUUCGGGUAGUAGAUUUACGUCAAAUUGUAGAGAAAGUUGCAUACAAACUAUCGUCAAAAACGGAAAAGUCCAAAGUUGACGGAUAUUUGACGAAAAAUUCAAGGAAACUUUUGUAAAACUUUUGCUAAGAAAACUGUGCUAUUAGGGGAGUUAAUGCUUACGCUGUCAAUUUAGAAGUAAACCUUAUUUUCUUACCCUUUUACUGAAAUUUUCUAGUUAUAUUCUCUGUAAAAUUACCUCUUCAUAAGAGGCGUAAAAUUACGCUGACUUGUAGUUCAUGUUGUACCCCGUAUUUUUAGUCAGAAACAGAAAUAUCUCAAUUGGCAUAGAAAUAUCUUAAGUUGGCAGUGAUUUAUCGUCAAAUCGAGGAGAUUCAUCAUUAUUGCUGACCUAAGCAUCAGUUAACAGGAUAUUUUUUAUGAUUCAAAUUUUAUUCAUAAGGUGAGUGAUAAAGAUUUGAUUUAUUAUAUGCAACACCAUUUUCAAGCUUAAUGUUUGGUAGUAGAAUCUGUACUAAUAUUUUAAAAUUGAAUUCAAUUGCAAUUGACUUAAGCCAACAAUAUAACACAUAAAGUUUUUGGUUUCUAUUAAUGGUAUAAUAACAUAUUCUUGAAAGGUCCGUCAAAGCAUAGUUCCUUCAAUUUAUUUAUAUUUUUAACUAUUGUUUUUUUUUUUCAGCAGUUGUAAAUUCCAAAUUUCUUUCUAUUUUGACUUAUCAUUGGAAAAAUCGAGGAAAAAAAUUAUAGAAAUAGAACUACUCGUGCUCCAGCUGUUAUUGGACAAUUUCUCUGCUAUCAAAAGCAGUCAUUUUUCUUUGACUUCUGCUUUCAAUCAGCAGUCUUAUAUUCAAUUUUCUGCUUUUAAUCAGCAGUCUUAUAUUCAAUUUUCUGCUUUUAAUUAGCAGUCUAAAAUUUUUUUCCAUUUUCUGCGUUUGAUUUGCAGUUUAAAACUCAAUUUUUUACUUUUGAUUAGUAGUUCAGGUAGUCCUAUAUUUGAAUUUCUGCUUAUAACAGCAGUAGUGCUCACAGAAUCUGCUUGGAUAAGCAGUAGGAUUUCAAAAUACUAGAUAUCGCUGAUUAUUUAUCUUUAUUUAUAAUUAUAAGGAGUAUAAAUUAAGUUAACAAAGUAUACAUAUUUUUGUACUGUUCUCUGUAUUAUAAAAUAAAACAUAAU
Microplitis mediator is the source of this 1892-nucleotide long non-coding RNA. RefSeq lists it as uncharacterized. Lineage: Eukaryota; Metazoa; Arthropoda; Insecta; Hymenoptera; Braconidae. The transcript is spliced from 5 exons. The record is from RefSeq and is a predicted model, not a curated record.